CCUACGGGAGGCUGCAGUGAGGAAUAUUGGUCAAUGGACGGAAGCCUGAACCAGCCAUGCCGCGUGCAGGAUGACGGCUCUAUGAGUUGUAAACCGCUUUUGUAAAAGGGUAAACCUGAAUACGUGUCUUCAGCUGAAUGUACUGUAUGAAUAAGGAUCGGCUAACUCCGUGCCAGCAGCCGCGGUAAUACGGAGGAUCCGAGCGUUAUCCGGAUUUAUUGGGUUUAAAGGGUGCGUAGGCGGGCUUUUAAGUCAGCGGUAAAAUGUUGGGGCUCAACCCCGGCUUGCCGUUGAAACUGGGGGCCUCGAGUGUGCGAGAGGCAGGCGGAAUGCGUGGUGUAGCGGUGAAAUGCAUAGAUAUCACGCAGAACUCCGAUUGCGAAGGCAGCAUACCGGGGCCCGACUGACGCUGAGGCACGAAAGCGUGGGGAUCGAACAGGAUUAGAUACCCGUGUAGUC
Molecule: ribosomal RNA, 459 nt
Filed under: uncultured bacterium
Lineage: Bacteria
Description: partial 16S ribosomal RNA
Rfam family: Bacterial small subunit ribosomal RNA
Source: RNAcentral